RNAcentral lists this transfer RNA (74 nucleotides) under Penaeus monodon (black tiger shrimp). RNAcentral's name for it is "tRNA-Thr". It matches the Rfam family "tRNA". From Rfam's summary of the family: Transfer RNA (tRNA) molecules are approximately 80 nucleotides in length. Their secondary structure includes four short double-helical elements and three loops (D, anti-codon, and T loops). Lineage: Eukaryota; Metazoa; Arthropoda; Malacostraca; Decapoda; Penaeidae. The record is from RNAcentral.
GCCUCCAUUAGCUCAGUGGCUAGAGCGCUGGUCUAGUAAACCAGAGGGCCAGGAGUUCGAUCCUCCUGGAGGCA